RNAcentral lists this ribosomal RNA (1521 nucleotides) under metagenome. Its description in RNAcentral is "bacterial LSU rRNA". It matches the Rfam family "Bacterial large subunit ribosomal RNA", at positions 1365 to 2911 of the family's 2925-position model. The record is from RNAcentral.
GAAAUCGGAUCAGGGUUAGUCGGGGCCUAAGGAGAACCCGAAUGGGAUAUUCGAUGGACAACGGUUUAAUAUUACCGUACCUUUUAUAGAUGCGAUGUGGGGACGGAGUAGUGACACUGCCGCGAACUGACGGAAUAGUUCGUUAAAGACUGUAGGUAUUGGGAUGGUAGGCAAAUCCGCCAAUCCAGCUGAACGUCGAUAGUACCGCAAGCCUUCGGGUGAGUGGAUAGCGCAGGUAAUCAGACUUCCAAGAAAAACCGCUAAGCUCCAGUCUAUAAAAGCCCGUACCGCAAACCGACACAGGUAUCCGGGAAGAGAAUUCUAAGGUGCUCGAGUGAAUCAUGGCUAAGGAACUCGGCAAAAUGGCCCUGUAACUUCGGGAGAAGGGGCGCUGUCAGCAAUGGCAGCCGCAGUGAAAAGGCCCAGGCGACUGUUUAACAAAAACACAUGGCUUUGCAAAAUCGAAAGAUGAGGUAUAAGGCCUGACACCUGCCCGGUGCUGGAAGGUUAAGAGGGGAUGUUAGGGUCAAACCGAAGCAUUGAAUCGAAGCCCCAGUAAACGGCGGCCGUAACGAUAACGGUCCUAAGGUAGCAAAAUUCCUUGUCGGGUAAGUUCCGACCUGCACGAAUGGUGUAACGAUCUGGGCGCUGUCUCAGCCAUGAGCUCGGUGAAAUUGUGGUCCCGGUGAAGACGCCGGGUACCCGCAACGGGACGGAAAGACCCCAUGCACCUUCACUACAAUUUAACAUUGACAUUGGAUACAGGAUGUGUAGGAUAGGUGGGAGGCUUUGAAGCGGCGUCGCUAGGCGUCGUGGAGCCAACGUUGAAAUACCACCCUUUCUGUAUUCGGUGUCUAAUCCCGCCCAGCGGGAGACAUUGUUUGAUGGGUAGUUUGACUGGGGUGGUCGCCUCCAAAAAGGUAACGGAGGCUUUCAAAGGUAAGCUCAGUACGCUUGGUAACCGUACGCGGAGUGCAAUAGCAUAAGCUUGCUUGACUGUGAGGCAGACAAGCCGAGCAGGGUCGAAAGACGGAUAUAGUGAUCCGGUGGUUCUGCAUGGAAGGGCCAUCGCUCAAAGGAUAAAAGGUACGCUGGGAUAACAGGCUGAUCUCCCCCAAGAGCUCAUAUCGACGGGGAGGUUUGGCACCUCGAUGUCGGCUCGUCACAUCCUGGGGCUGGAGAAGGUCCCAAGGGUUCGGCUGUUCGCCGAUUAAAGUGGCACGCGAGCUGGGUUCAGAACGUCGCGAGACAGUUCGGUCCCUAUCUGUUGUGGGCGUAGGAAUUUAGAGUGGGGCUGACCUUAGUACGAGAGGACCGGGUUGGACUAGCCUCUAGUGAAUCUGUUGUUCCGCCAGGGGCAUUGCAGAGUAGCUACGCUGGGGAUAGAUAAGCGCUGAAAGCAUCUAAGUGCGAAACUAGCCACGAGAUGAGAAUUCCAUAUAGGACCGUAGAAGACUACUACGUUGAUAGGCUAUAGAUGUAAAGCUGGCGACAGCACAGUCGAGUAGUACUAAUCAUCUA